UACGUAGGGUGCGAGCGUUGUCCGGAAUUAUUGGGCGUAAAGAGCUCGUAGGCGGUCUGUCGCGUCGAUCGUGAAAACUUGGGGCUUAACCCUGAGCUUGCGGUCGAUACGGGCAUGACUGGAGUUCGGCAGGGGAGACUGGAAUUCCUGGUGUAGCGGUGAAAUGCGCAGAUAUCAGGAGGAACACCGGUGGCGAAGGCGGGACUCUGGGCCGAUACUGACGCUGAGGAGCGAAAGCGUGGGGAGCAAACAGG
This 254-nucleotide ribosomal RNA is filed under the name uncultured bacterium. RNAcentral's name for it is "partial 16S ribosomal RNA". It matches the Rfam family "Bacterial small subunit ribosomal RNA", at positions 524 to 776 of the family's 1533-position model. The record is from RNAcentral.